RNAcentral lists this ribozyme (77 nucleotides) under Crocodylus porosus (Australian saltwater crocodile). Its description in RNAcentral is "Mammalian CPEB3 ribozyme (ENSCPRG00005016499.1)". It matches the Rfam family "Mammalian CPEB3 ribozyme". Rfam says of the family: The mammalian CPEB3 ribozyme is a self cleaving RNA located in the second intron of the CPEB3 gene which belongs to a family of genes regulating messenger RNA polyadenylation. This ribozyme is highly conserved and found only in mammals. The record is from Rfam by way of RNAcentral. Lineage: Eukaryota; Metazoa; Chordata; Crocodylia; Crocodylidae.
AGUCAUAAGUUUGAGGCCACAGCAGAAGCACUCACAGUGCAACCCUGUCAGAUUCCAAUGAAUCUGUGAAUUCUGCU